RNAcentral lists this ribosomal RNA (498 nucleotides) under uncultured bacterium. Its description in RNAcentral is "partial 16S ribosomal RNA". It matches the Rfam family "Bacterial small subunit ribosomal RNA", at positions 30 to 523 of the family's 1533-position model. The record is from RNAcentral.
AUUGAACGCUGGCGGCAUGCCUUACACAUGCAAGUCGAACGGUAACAGGUCUUCGGAUGCUGACGAGUGGCGAACGGGUGAGUAAUACAUCGGAACGUGCCUAGUAGUGGGGGAUAACUACUCGAAAGAGUGGCUAAUACCGCAUGAGAUCUACGGAUGAAAGCAGGGGAUCGCAAGACCUUGUGCUACUAGAGCGGCCGAUGGCAGAUUAGGUAGUUGGUGGGAUAAAAGCUUACCAAGCCGACGAUCUGUAGCUGGUCUGAGAGGACGAUCAGCCACACUGGGACUGAGACACGGCCCAGACUCCUACGGGAGGCAGCAGUGGGGAAUUUUGGACAAUGGGCGCAAGCCUGAUCCAGCGAUGCCGCGUGCAGGAUGAAGGCCUUCGGGUUGUAAACUGCUUUUGUACGGAACGAAAAGCCCUGGGUUAAUACCCUGGGGUCAUGACGGUACCGUAAGAAUAAGCACCGGCUAACUACGUGCCAGCAGCCGCCGUAA